Molecule: long non-coding RNA, 13871 nt
Filed under: Triticum aestivum (bread wheat)
Lineage: Eukaryota; Viridiplantae; Streptophyta; Magnoliopsida; Poales; Poaceae
Description: long non-coding RNA (TAES_LNC003058)
Source: RNAcentral
UUUCUUUUUGUAAAGUCCGAAGCCUCAUCCCGAGUUGUGGGGGAAUCAUAGUCUUCAUCAUCCUUUCCUCACUAGGACAAUGCUCUGAUAAUGAAGAUCAUCACACUUUUAUGGAUUUACAACUCAAAGCUAGAACAAGAUACGACUCUAUAUGAAUGCCUCCGGCGGUGUACCGGGAUAUGCAAUGAAUCAAGAGCGACAUGUAUGAAAAUUAUGAAGGUGGCCUUGCCACAAAUACAAUGUCAACUACAUGAUGAUGCAAAAAGCAAUAUGACAAAUGUAAUGCGUGUCAUAUGAACGGAACGGUGGAAAUUUGCAUGGAAAUAUAUCUCAGAAUGGCUAUGGAAAUGCCAUAAUAGGUAGGUAAGGUGGCUGUUUUGAGGAAGGUAAAUGGUGGGUGUAUGGUAUCGGCGGAGUUGCACGAUACAAGAGAGGCUAGCAAUCGUGGAAGCGUGAAAGAGUGCGUAUAAUACAUGGACUCAACAUUAAUCAAAAGAACUCAUAUACUUGUUGCAAAAAUUUACAAGUCAUCAAAAACCAAAGUACUAUGCGCAUGCUCCUAGGGGGAUAGAUUGGUAGGAAAAGACCAUCGCUCGUCCCUGACCGCCACUCAUAAGGAAGACAAUCAAUAAAUAAAAGUGUGCUCCAACUUCUUCACAAAGCGGUUCACCAUACGUGCAUGCUACGGGAAUCACAAGCUUCAACUCAAGCAUUCUUUAAAUUCAUAAUCACCCAACUAGCAUGACUUUAAUAUCACUACCUUCAUAUCUCAAAACAAUUAUCAAGUAUCAAAUUGAUCAUAGCAUCCAAUUCACUUUCUAUGAUAGUUUUUAUUAUACUCAACUUGGAUUAUAAUCAUUCUAGGACCAACUUUAUGAUAAUAGCAAAUACCAUGCUGUGCUAAAAGACUCUCAAAAUAAUAUAAGUGAAGCAUGAGAGACUAACAAUUUCUUCAAAAUUAAGACACCACCGUGCUCUAAAAGAUAUAAGUGAAGCACUAGAGCAAAAACUAUCAAGCUCAAAAGAUAUAAGUGAAGCACAUAGAGCAUUCUAGCAAAUUCUAAUCAAAUAGGCUUCUCCCAAAAUGUGUGUACAGCAGGGAUGAUUGUAGUAAACUGAAAGGCAAAGACUAAUAUAAUACACGACGCUCCAAGCAAAUCACAUAUCAUGUGGCGAAUAAAAAUAUAGCUCCAAGUAAAGUUACCAAUGAACGAAGACGAAAGAGGGGACGCCUUCCCGGGGCAUCCCCAAGCUUAGGAUUUUGGCUAUUAUUGAUUAUCUUGGGGUGCCAUGGGCAUCCCCAAGCUUAGGCUCUUGCCACUCCUUAUUCCAUAGUCCAUAAAAGCUUUACCCAAAACUUGAAAACUUCACAACACAAAACGCAACAGGAAAUCUUAUAAGCUCCAUUAGUGAAAGAAAACAAACCCACCACAUAAGGUACUGCCAUGAACUCAUUCUUUAUUUAAUUUGGUGUUAAACCUACUGUAUUCCAACUUCUUUAUGGUUCAUAGAGUGAAUUACUAGCCAUAGAUGCAUUGAAAUAAGCAAACAACACACGAGAAACAGAAUCUGUCAAAAACAGAACAGUCUGUAGCAAUCUGUAACUAACGCAAACUUCUGGAACUCUAAAAAUCCUACCAAAAUAGGAAGUCCUGGAAAAUUUGUUUAUUGAAUAGAAGCAAAAAUAAUCAACGCAAAAGUACGUUCUUGUGAUUUAACAAAAUUAUAUUCGUGCGCGCAAAGUUUCUGUUUUUCAGCAGAAUCAAAUCAACUAUCAUCGUAGGUUAUCCUAUAGGUUCUACUUGGCACAAACACUAAUUAAAAGAUAAAAACACAUCUAACCAUAAGGUAGAUGCAAAAUUUAUUACUAAACAGGAGCAAAAACAAAAAAACAUAAAGAAAAUUGGGUUGCCUCCCAACUAGCGCUAUCAUUUAACGCCCCUAGCUAGGCAUAAAAGCGAAGAUAGAUCUAAGUGGUGCCGUAAUAAUAAGAUAGAUCUUGAAAGCUCAUCUCAUAUUCUCUAUGUUUGGCAGCAAGUUUUCUUUGAGGCAAGCAAAAGUAAUCAAAAUGGCUAAAUUUAGUGGGACAAAGAUCCCCAAGAUCAAUCACAGGAGGAAUGGGUUCCCCCCUUGGCCCUUCAUAGUGUACAACUAUAUCAUCACUAAAAGCAUUCUUUUUGCAAAAUCUUGUGAGCCUAUACUCAAGAGAGUAUCCUAGCUCAUUGUUUCGAAGGGCAAAAUCAUUAUUAAUCUCAUUAAUGCAAUCAACCAAGACAUUUGUAGGAACCUUUUUUCUAAGGUUUUCAUUAAAAGCGACAUAGUCCGAAGAUUGAAAAUGUCUUAUUUCCUCUUGAUCAUAGAGGGUCGCCUCUAUGGGAGGACGACUGGCGUCCACCCUAUAGUGCGCAAAGAUUUCUUUGGCCUCUCUUAUGAUAAAUCUAAACUCAUGAGCUAAAAAGAUAGUAACUGCGCGCUUAACAGAAGAAUGCUCAAUAUUAGAGAAUUCUAGGAAAAUUCUUUGUAUGCAAGGAUGCAUAUACAUAAAUUGCCUUUAAAGUUCAACUAUAAGCAUAGCAAUAGCAUCCGCAAGACAACUAGUUCUAUGAAGAAUAGAACCACCCAUGGAAGGUAAAGCACCGGCACAAGUAAAGAAAUCUUGAAUAACACCUUUGCCAAUGAUGUUACCGCUACCGAUUCGAAACUUUUUAGUAUGCAAGAUAGGGGGUUCAUUGGUCGGAGCCUCGGGGUUUUCUAUGUUAUCAUUAUUGUCCAUAUCAACGAUAAUCUCCCCAAUUUUAGACAUAGUGGCAAACAAAAGCAAGGCGGAAGAAGCAAGCGAAAAGGAGAGGAGGAGAUUGGGAUAGAGAGGGCGAAUAAAACGACAAGGGUGAAGUGGGGGAGAGGAAAACGAGAGGCAAAUGGCAAAUAAUGUAAAUGCGAGGGAGAUGGGUUUGUGAUGGGUACUUGGUAUGUCUUGACUUGAGCGAAGACCUCCCCAGCAACGGCGCCAGAAAUCCUUCUUGCUACAUCUUGAGCUUGCAUUGGUUUUCCUCGAAGAGGAGAGGGUGAUGCAGCAAACUGUAGCGUAAGUAUUUCCCUCAGUUUUGAGAAGCAAGGUAUCAAUCCAGUAGGAGGCUCCUCAAAAGUCCCAUGCACCAACAGAAACAAAUUGAGUACUCGCAACCAACGCAAUAAAGGGGUUGUCAAUCCCUUCACGGCCACUUGCGAAAGUGAGAUCUAAUAAAGAUAGUAUGAUAAGAUAAAUAUAUUUUUGGUAUUUUAUGAUAUAGAUGCAAAAAGUAAAGAUGCAAAUAAAAGUAGAUUGAAAGCAAAUAUGAUAAGAGAUAGACCCGGGGGGCAUAGGUUUCACUAGAGGCUUCUCUCAAAAUAGCAUAAGUAUUACGGUGGGUGAACAAAUUACUGUCGAGCAAUUGAUAGAAAAUCGCAUAGUUAUGAGAUUAUCUAGGCAUGAUAAUGUAUAUAGGCAUCACAUCCAUAACAAGUAGACCGACUCCCGCCUGCAUCUACUAGUAUUACUCCACACAUCGACCGACUCCUACCUGCAUCUAGAGUAUUAAGUUAAUAAGAAAAGAGUUAUGCAUUAAGCAAGAUGACAUGAUGUAGAGGGAUAAACACAUGCAAUAUGAUAUAAACCCCAUCUUGUCAUCCUCGAUGGCAACAAUACAGUACGUGCCUUGCAACCCUUUCUGUCAUUGGGUAAGGACACCGCAAGAUUGAACCCAAAGCUAAGCACUUCUCCCAUGGCAAGAAAAACCAAUCUAGUAGGCCAAACCAAACUGAUAAUUCGAAGAGACUUGCAAAGAUAACUCAAUCAUACAUAAAAGAAUUCAGAGGAGAUUCAAAUAUUAUUCAUAGAUACACUUGAUCAUAAACCCACAAUUCAUCGGAUCUCGACAAACACACCGCAAAAAGAGUUUACAUCGAAUAGAUCUCCACAAGAGAUGGGGAGAACAUUGUAUUGAGAUGCAAAAAGAGAGAAGAAGCCAUCUAGCUAAUAACUAUGGACCCGUAGGUGUGUGCUACUCACAACUCAUCAGAGGGGCAAGGAUGUUGAUGUAGAGGCCCUCCGUGGUUGAUUCCCCCUCCGGCAGAGUGCCGGCGAAGGCUCCAAGAUGGGAUCUCGCGGAUACAGAAGGUUACGGCGGUGGAAAUUGUGUUUCGUGGUGCUCCUGGAUGAUUUCGGGGUAUGUAGGUAUAUAUACGAGGAAGAACUACGUCGGUGGCUGCCCGAGGGGCCCACAAGACAGGGGGCGCGCCCUACAGGGGGGCGCGGCACCCUAUCUCGUGGGGCCCUAGGGAGCUUCUUGACUUGCACUCCAAGCUCUCCGGAUCAUGUUCGUUCCAAAAAUCACGCUCCCGAAGGUUUCAUUCCGUUUGGACUCUGUUUGAUAUUCCUUUUCUUCAAAAUACUGAAAUAGGCAAAAAACCAGCAAUAUGGGCUGGGCCUCCGGUUAGUAGGUUAGUCCCAAAAUGAUAUAAAUGUGUAAAAUAAAGCCCAUAAACAUCCAAAAGGGGUAAUAUAAUAGCAUGGAACAAUAAAAAAUUAUAGAUACGUUGGAGAUGUAUCAAGCGAUUCCUUCGUGACUGCUGCUAACUGAAGCCGAUCGAUGCUGCCUCUAGAUGAACAAUGAGCAUUGCGAGGGGGAGUGUUGGAUGAACAGUUAGCGGUGGGGUGGAUGAACAGGACCCCGUGGCGUUGCCUCCGCAUGAACAGGACCCCGAUCGAUCGACCUGGUUGGGGCUAGAUGAACAGGCCCCCGUGGAGGGCUGGAUGAAUAGGACGACCCCGUGGAGGGCUGGAUGAACAGUAGACGGUGUAGGGGUGGAUGAACAGUAGCCCGUAGAGGGGUGGUUAAACAGGAGCCCGUGGAGAGGGGUGGUUGAACCCGGUGGAGUAGCGCGCAGUGGAGGCUAGAUGAACAGGAGCCCGCGGAUGAACAGUCGUAGGUGGAGGCUGGAGGAGGCUGACGGUGGAUGAACAGUAGCCCAUGGAGGCUAGAGGAGGUCGAUGGUGGAGAUGAACAGUAUCCCGUGGAGUCCCGUUUUGCAGUACGCCACACCCGUCCCGAUGAACAGGACCCCUGUUUCGACCGUAGCGCUCCAACACAAGUCCGUUUCCUCCGUUUUGCAGUACACCACACCCCUCCCGAUCAACAAGACCCCUUUCGACUAUAGGAGGUCCAACACAAGUCUGUUUCCUUCGUUUUGCAGUACGCCAGACCCCUCCCGAUGAACAGGAACCCGUUUCGAACGUGGCCGAUCGAACACAAGGUCGUUUCCUCCGUUCUGUGGUACGCCGGGCCUCGUUUCCAUCGCCUGUUCCGUCCAAGCCUGUUGGCUCCCACGUGUUUCGUUGCCUCCCGAGGAACACGACGCAUUCCGUUGCCUCCCCAUGAACACGACGCAUUCCAUUGCCUCCCAAUGAACACGACAAUGACGCAGUUUCUCCAUAAUGACCCAACCAUGUACACGAGCACUAGCCGUACGUAUGUGCGAGUAGGCAUUCGAGACCUCGCCUGUAUGUACGUACGUGGCCAUAUUUUCUUUUUUGCACCCUGGCCGUUGUACGUACGUGUACAUGCUACGUGCGCGCCUCUACUAUGACACGUGCGUGCCUCUACAUCGACUAGUAUGUACGUACACGUUCGCGGCCAGAAUGACAAUGCUACAUAUGCUUCGACCAGGUGGGUCCCGACUGUUAGGCACUUCCUUGCGUGCGAAGAUGUAGCUGGUGGGUCCUAGUAGUCAGGGGGGCGAAUCGUUUUCGGACGCACUUCCUUGCGUGCAAAGAUGUAGCUGGUGGGUCCCAGCAAUCAGGGGGAAAUGUUUUUUUCAUGAAAUACAGUGGCCUGUCCGGUGGGUCCCAGCUGUCAGGUGGAGGAAUCAUUAUUUUCCGCGUAAUAAGGAGGCACUUCCUUGCUACGUACAGUCCACGUCCGAUGGAAGUCGUUCAUUGACCACGCCACACCGAGAGCACCACGGCGGUGGACGACGGCGAGGCCUAGGAAGGGGACGACGCGGAGCCGGGGAAGAUGCGGCAGUGGAUGCCCACGCGGAGAGGAGUACGAGGGUUCACUGGUUCGGCUGCGGUGUGAGGCUGUCGUCGCUGCAGAAUAACAGGGGGUGUGUGUGAGUGGAGGGAUGGCCUGGCCAGCGGUGGGAGUAGUAGGGGGCAGUGAGGCCUCCGCGGCAGCACAGCCGGCCACGGGAGGCAGGAGCAGGCGGCAUGACCGGCACUACUUUGGGCGGCUGGAGCAAGAAGACCAGAGGUUGAAGAAGCAUGACGGUCGUUGGAUGGACAUCAUACGGUCACUGCAGCUAGAAUCGUUUAUAUUGACUAAGUUGACAAAGCCCUUGGUACGCGUCAACUUAGUAGGCCUGCGGGUCAACAUCAAAAACGGUGCGCCCCAAAUGUCAGGGGGAUGAAUCAUUUUUUGGGCGGGUGAAGCUAGAAUAUCUGAGAUUGAAGAAGAAGAACGACAUCCAUUGGAUGGACAUCCAACGGCCACUGCUGCUAGAACCCUGUGUUGACUAUAAGUUGACAAAGCCUUGCAUAUGCGUCAACUCUAUUUUUUUAGGGGACGCGUCAACUUAGUAAGACCACAAGUGUGUGGCAGAGAACUUAUAGCCCAUUUGAGAUUUGUAGGAAUGUGCAGCCCAUUUUUGAAUUCUAAUGGAAUUUACUACAGCCCAUCUACAGUUUGUUAAAAGUACAGCCCAUUUCAACCAACCAUUCAAAACAGAAUUCAAUAAAAUUUCCCACAUUUUGAUGGGAUCCGAAAUAUUUUUAUCCUGAAAUUUCUAGUCAGAUUAAAUGCAAUUUCAAUAUAAAUUUAUAUUACAUAAACCAACAAAACAUUGCGCUCGCAACAAUUAAUGAAAUUAAAAUUUUCAAUAUCCAAAAACAAUAUUUUAUAAAGUAAUUAUGUGUUUGGUGCAUUUUUUAUAGUUACUGCCCAGUUUUUAUAAUUACGUCCCAUUUAUUAUUUCUCAAAGCCCAUUUUCUUGUUAAGCCUAAUGCAUCCCUCCUAGGAAAGAUUUGCAGCCUAGCGGGGCGGAGAAUAACAACUUGACCUUGCCUGGGUAUUCCUAAAAAAAGUAUAGCUGGGCUAGACAUUUUCAGCUUGAAAAAAAUUAAUAUCUGGGCUGGAUAUCUAGCCUGGGCUAGACGGGCCACAACCCGCCCAGUUAAUACGUGCAGCGAUGUUAUCGUUGUUGUUCAGAGGGGGAAAAUUAAUAUCUGGGCUAAACAUCAAAAAACUCUGCAGUGCUCACACCUCAAAAACACAAAUACUGCUCAAGCUGCUUGGUACCAGCUGUCGGCCGCUUCUUGUGCAAUUCUCUCGUUUAUUGACUACAUAGGUUGACAAUGGUGUGGGACCGUGAUGUUAGGAAACCAGGAGGAAGCAAAAAAAUAUAGUUAUAUAUAUAUAAGGAGGCACUUGCGUACGUGAGGCUAUGGCCCUGGUGAGUCCUCAUUGUCAUCCUCUCCAAGUAAAGUCAUCUCCUCGCUCGCGCGCGCUUUCCGCCCGAAACAGUCAGCGCCACCCGCCCCGCUUCCCGGUGCAGGCGAUUGCUCCGCCUUCAAAUGACACAAGUGUCCUCCAUCCGUCCAUCUGCCGCCCACAUUAAUGAUACGCGGUUGCCGAGGCGGCUACUCCGGUGCCACACGUCCGUCCCUCCGCCGCCCACCAUUGCUAUAUAAACUGCUGCGCCGGCCAUAGCCGCAGUCAUCCGUAUGCGUUCCCUUUCUCCUGUCCACACCACUACUACCCCCCAUGGCUUCCUCGCGCUCCAGCGCUCUUCGGGACGGGCGGACGACGAACCACAAGGAGAUGGCAGCCAUUGCUGCCGACCGGCUGGCCGGCAGGCAGCCGGAGGACGACGACGUCCCAAUGAAGAACAUGGUAGUCGAUGAUCCAGCGCCAACCCCCUCCUCCGUGCCAUCCUCGCUGGUGCAUUGCACCAUGACCAUUGGCGAGGCCCGUGCCCAAUAUAUAGACACAGUGAGGCAGAUGCGGGAGGAGCAGUUCCGGGAGGCGCAUGUUGACGCUGCCUACAACAACCAUCUCCUCCAGGAGCACCUCCACGCGGAGGAGCAGAUCGCCGCGUAGCGGGCGGAGCAGGAGGCGCUGCUUGACUCGUACCGCUUCGCCCGCGAGGGCCGCCUCGAGCGCUGGCGGUACCGCAUGCGGGUGGCGGAGGCUGCGGCCGCCUACAAAGAGGGAGAUGAAGUAGGCGAGGCGCAGUUUGGCAAGAUCGAGGAUGAGGCAGAGGACAAUGGCAGCUCCGACGAGUGCCCGCUCCACUGGCAUUGACGAGGCCCUGCUCCGCCGAGGCCCCGCGGCGCCAACAACGAGGCAGAGGACACCGCUGGCUCCGCCGAGGCCCCACCCCGCCAACAACGAGGCAGAGGACAUCACCGGCUCAGUCGAGGCCCCACCCUACCGGCAACGAGGGGGAGGAUUUCCACCGCUCCGCCGAGGCGCCGCCUGCCGGCAACGAGACAGAUGACAUCACCGGCUCCGUCGAGGCCCUGCCCUGCUGCCAAUGAGGCCGCGCCACACAGAAAACGAGGAAGAGUAGAACACGGUAGGUCGCCACCGCUCGGGUCCAAGUAAGGCCACAGCUGCUACCCUCCGGUUGAAGCCAAGCUAGGCGGGUUAACCAUUGACGGCCGGUUAGCUUCUUGGCGGCGACAUGGAGUCGGAGAGCUGUGUUGGAGAAGAACGCUGCUUCUACUUAACUGUUGGUGCAGUUGGCCGACUGACACAUGGGCCCAAUAGGCCACAUGUCAGUUACGCAACUGCACCUGCAGUUAAGUCACUGAAGCUUCUAUUCGGCUCAGCGGGACAUAGGUGAGUAGCUUUGGUUAAUUAAUUAUACCUCCAGCGCACCCCUUUUUAGUUGAAGAAUGUAUGGAAUGUAAUGAAAUCCAGCAUGUUUAUAUGAAAUCCGACCGUGUAUGAAUUAAUUUAUUUCGAUUAGUUCAAAUUCCUGUAUCACUGGCAUUGGAUGGACAUGCAAAACAAUACGUACUAGCAUUAUUCCCAGGGUGAUCACCUCAUUUACAGUGAUUUCACAUGCACUCCCUCCGGUCCUUUCUAGUCUGCAUACAAGUUUUGUUUGCAGUCAAAGUAUCUCUACUUUGACCAAUCUUAUGGAAAAAGUAUGCACUUUCACAAUGUCCGAAGUAAAAAGGAACAAAAGGAGUACAAAGAGUUUGAGCAGCUUUUUAGCGUUUCUGUACAAUGCAAUCAAACACAUAGAGCUGGCAAUUCAUAGAGAACAUUUAAAACAAUCGAUGAUUAUGCAUCUCAGUGACUCACAUGUCAGAGGCAAUAUUUACUUCACAACUAAAUAAUAAAGAAAAAAUUGAUCGACGCUGCUGACAGCAAAGGGCGUCCCAUUCGAAAAUAUCAAACGCAUGUCUUCUUCCUAAAUUCAAUGAGAAAAUUUUGACAAGGUUGUCCCAUUCCAAAAUAUCAAAUGCCUACGAAUGUGGAAUGGGCAGGGUUUUCCAUCAGUUCGGACAUUGACAUGGCACCUCGUGCUAAAUAAACCAGCUGUUCUUUUUGUGCAGUUCCACCAAAAUCAACCAAAUUCGCGUGUAGCUUGUAUGAUUUAGCCCUUAUAUGUUGCAACGCCUUGAACUUAUUGGCACGUCCUUUCUUGUGGUGGAAAUGAAUGAUUUGAUGUAUUCAUGAACAUUUUGUGCAGUUCCCAUUGAAAUCAAGCUGAGCACCCCUGUUUGCACAAAUACAAAAAAAUUGAUUAGUAUAAAGCAAACUGUACUAUGAAUUGAUAGUUUAAACAGGCACCUACAUGGUCCAUGUAGAGCACACUUUUAGAAAAAUGGAACUCACCAGAAAUAAUCCUAGAACAACAUUGUACUCGCGCAUCACAGCAAAAAAAUGGAGAUUUGUCAGUCCUUCUAAACUGAAGUUAGUUUGGUCUUGCGGAGUAAUGUAACCAUCCUUCAACUGCUCCUUCUGAUGAGAAGAUAGACAGAGCUUCUUCAUCCUGGCAUAACUGGAACUAGUCACUUCACGUACUCCAUAUUCUUCUUCAGAGGAAGAUGAUCCUGUUGUGCAAAGACAAGAGGACAACUAAAUGCUAGCAUCCCUGUUUGCUCGAAAAAAAGGAAAGGAAAUAUUUAAAAUAGCACAGAUGAAGCACUUCUCAAGGACAAUACCACUUUUUCAUGACAGUAUCUAAACAGUAGCACAACACUAAUAGAGAUGACAAAGCUCAAUCAUAUGGAUGAAAUCAGUGGGCGAAUACCAACCUUUGUCAGGAGGCUUAUUGUGUAGAGCAUACAGAUGAAGCACUUCUCUGGAACCAUUUGUUGCUAUCUACUAUGGUGGCCAUGCUUACUAUAUACUCCUCGAUUAGUUUAAUGUUUCCAACAUCUUCUCAUGCAGUUCCACUAAAAUAUAUGGUAUCUUCAAAGAAGAUCCCUGUUUGCACAAGUAGAGAUAAUUACGUAUUACAUUAAGAGUGACAUCAAAUCAGUGGCAAAAUAAUUGCUCGUUCCAGUCAUAGCAAUAAAUUAAGCUACAAAACUAUAUCAUUACUUGUGUCAUCACAGUUCCAGUGCUUCAUUACAGCACCGGGAGUUGAUUUUUGUUUUUCUUCCGCUUGUUCUUACCCUUCAUCACUUGGUUCAAUAACAGACAAGCUUCGCCUUCAAUGUAAGAUUUGGCAUGUCAAUUAGGGAGCACAAGUAUAACACUAAACAAUGACAUUAAUUUUCUGAUGAAUGUGGCAAAAUACAGGCCAACAGUUGUGAAAUAUCCUUAUCUUACCUCAAUGGGAUAUUAUGGUGCACAUACAGAUUGGAAGUCUUGUCUCCAUUUGUGCAGUUCACUAAAAUCAAGCAACAUUACCGUACAAGUAGCACACUGCUACGUCUUGAGCUUGCGUUGGUUUUCCUUGAAGAGAAAAGGGUGAUGCAGCAAUAGUAGCGUAAGUAUUUCCCUCAUUUUUUGAGAACCAAGGUAUCAAUCCAGUAGGAGGCUCCUCAAAAGUCCCACGCACCUACACAAACAAACAAAGAACUCGCAACCAACGCAUUAACGGGGUUGUCAAUCCCUUCAUGGCCACUUGCGAAAGUGAGAUCUAAUAAAGAUAGUAAGAUAAGAUAAAUAUAUUUUUGGUAUUUUAUAAUAUAGAUGCAAAAAGUAAAGAUGCAAAUAAAAGUAGAUUGGAAGCAAAUAUGAUAAGAGAUAGACCCGAGGGCCAUAGGUUUCACUAGUGGCUUCUCUCAACGUAGCAUAAGUAUUACGGUGGGUGAACAAAUUACUGUCGAGCAAAUGAUAGAAUAGCGAAUAAUUACGAGAAUGCCUAGGCAUGAUCAUGUAUAUAGGCAUCACGUCCGCAACAAGUAAACCGACUCAUGCCUGCAUCUACUACUAUUACUCCACACAUCGACCGACUCCUGUCUACUAGAGUAUUAAGUUCAUAAGAACAGAGUAACACAUUAAGCAAGAUGAUAUGAUGUAGAGGGAUAAACUCAAGCAAUAUGAUAUAAACCCCAUCUUGUUAUCCUCGAUGUCAACAAUACAAUAUGUGCCUUGCAACCCUUUCUAUCACUGGGUAAGGACACCGCAAGAUUGAACCCAAAGCUAAGCACUUCUCCCAUGGCAAGAAAGAUCAAUCUAGUAGGCCAAACCAAACUAAUAAUUCGAAGAGACUUGCAAAGAUAACUCAAUCAUACAUAAAAGAAUUCAGAGAAGAUUCAAAUAUUAUCCAUACAUAAACUUGAUCAUAAACACACAAUUCAUCGGAUCUCGACAAACACACCACAAAAAGAGUUUACAUCGAAUAGAUCUCCACAAGAGAGGGGGAGAACAUUGUAUUGAGAUCCAAAAAGAGAGAAGAAGCCAUCUAGCUAAUAACUAUGGACCCGUGGGUCUAUGGUAAACUACUCAGAACUCAUCGGAGGGGCAAGGAUGUUGAUGUAGAAGCCCUCCAUGGUCGAUUCGCCCUCCAGCUGAGUGCCGACGAAGGCUCCAAGAUGAGAUCUCACGGAUACAGAAGGUUACGGUGGUGGAAAUUGGUUUUCGUUGGCUCCCUGGAUGUUUUCGGGGUACGUAGGCUUAUAAAGGAGGAAGAAGUACGUCGGUGGACGCCCGAGGGGCCCACGAGACAGGGGGCACGCCCUAUAGGGGGGCGCCCUCCUAUCUCGUGGAGGCCACGGCUGCUUCUUGACUUGCACUUCAAGUCCUCUGGAUCAUGUCCGUUCCAAAAAUCACGCUCCCGAAGGUUUCAUUCCGUUUGGACUCCGUUUGAUAUUCCUUUUCUUCAAAAUACUGAAAUAGGCAAAAAAAUAGCAAUACGGGCUGGGCCUUCGGUUAGUAGGUUAGUCCCAAAAAUGAUAUAAAUGUGUUAAAUAAAGCCCAUAAACAUCCAAAAGGGGUAAUAUAAUAGCAUGGCACAAUCAAAAUUAUAGAUACGUUGGAGACGUAUCAAGCAUCCCCAAGCUUAAUUCCUACUCGUCCUCGAGUAGGUAAAUGAUAAAAAAUAAAUUUUUGAUGUGGAAUGCUACCUAGCAUAAUUCUCAAUGUAAUUUUCUUUAUUGUGGCAUGAAUGUUCAGAUCCAAAUGAUACAAAAUAAAAGUUCAUAUUAACAUGAAAAUGGUGAUACUUCAAGCAUACUAAUCAAAGUAAUUAUGUCUUCUCAAAAUAACAUGGCCAAAGAAAGUUAUCCCUACAAAAUCAUAUAGUCUGGCUGUUCCUGUAUCUUCAUCACACAAAGUAUUUAAUCAUGCACAACCCCGAUGACAAGCCAAGCAAUUGUUUCAUACUUUAAUAAUCUCAAACUCUUUCACCUUUCACGCAAUACAUGAGCAUGAGCCAUGGACAUAGCACUAUAUGUGGAAUAGGAUGGUGGUUGUGGAGAAGACAAAAAAGGAGAAGAUAGUCUCACAUCAACUAGGCGUAUCAACGGGCUAUGGAGAUGCCCAUUAAUAGAUAUCAAAUGGAGUGAGUAGGGAUUGCCAUCCAACGGAUGCACUAGAGCUAUAAGUAUAUGAAAGCUCAACAAAUGAAACUAAGUGGGUGUGCAUCCAACUCGCUUGCUCAUGAAGACCUAGGGCAUUUUGAGGAAGCCCAUCAUUGGAAUAUACAAGCCAAGUUCUAUAAUGAAAAAUUCCCAGUAGUAUAUGAAAGUGACAUCAUAUGAGACUCUCUAUCAUGAAGAUCAUGGUGCUACUUUCAAGCACAAGUGUGGAAAAAGAGAUAGUAGCAUUGUACCUUCUCUCUUUUUCUCUCAUUUUAUUUUUUUUCUUUUUCUAUUUUUCUCUCUUUUUUUUCUUUCGCCUUCUUUUUUUUUCUUUUUGGCCUUUCCCCUUUUUUCUUUCUUCUUUUUUUUCUUUCGUUUUGUAAAGUCUGAAGUCUCAUCCCGACUUGUGGGGGAAUCAUAGUCUUCAUCAUUCUUUGCUCACUAGGACAAUGCUCUAAUAAUAAAGAUCAUCACACUUUUAUGGAUUUACAACUCAAGAAUUACAACUCAAAGCUAGAACAAGAUAUGACUCUAUAUGAAUGCCUCCGGCGGUGUACCGGGAUAUGCAAGGAAUCAAGAGUGACAUGUAUGAAAAUUAUGAAAGUGGCCUUGCCACAAAUACGAUGUCAACUACAUGAUCAUGCAAAGAGCAAUAUGACAAAAGUAAUGCGUGUCAUAUGAAUGGAACGGUGGAAAGUUCCAUGGCAAUAUAUCUCGGAAUGGCUAUGGAAAUGCCAUAAUAGGUAGGUAUGGUGGCUGUUUUGAGGAAGGUAUAUGGUAGGUGUAUGGUACCGGCAAAAGUUGCGCGGCACAAGAGAGGCUAGCAAUGGUGGAAGGGUGAGGU